UAAAGAGCCGCGGUAUUUUGACCGUGCUUUGGUAGCAUAAUCAUUAGUUUCUUAAUUAGAGGCUUGAAUGAAUGGUUUGACGAGAAAUUAACUGUCUCUUAAUAAAUUUUAGAAUUUAACUUUUAAGUUAAAAGGCUUAAAUAUUUCUUUAGGACGAGAAGACCCUAUAGAGCUUGACAUUUAUAAAUUUUAUAUUAUUUUAGGUUAUCUUUUUAUGUAAUUUUUUAAUGUUUGGUUGGGGUGACAUGAAGAAUAAUUAAACUCUUCAUUAUAAAAUCAUUGAUUUAUGUUCAUUUGAUCCAUAAUUUAUGAUCAAAAGAUUAAGUUACCUUAGGGAUAACAGCGUAAUCAUUUUUGAGAGUUCAUAUCGACAAAAUGGAUUGCGACCUCGAUGUUGGAUUAAGAUUAAUUUUAGGUGUAGUA
Molecule: ribosomal RNA, 423 nt
Filed under: Bryodema gebleri
Lineage: Eukaryota; Metazoa; Arthropoda; Insecta; Orthoptera; Acrididae
Description: partial large subunit ribosomal RNA
Rfam family: Archaeal large subunit ribosomal RNA
Source: RNAcentral